This 1361-nucleotide long non-coding RNA is filed under the name Helianthus annuus (common sunflower). RNAcentral's name for it is "hypothetical non coding rna". Lineage: Eukaryota; Viridiplantae; Streptophyta; Magnoliopsida; Asterales; Asteraceae. The record is from RNAcentral.
UCAUAAGUUAUAUAUAUGAGCAUGGUAGUGAGAGGGGCGGGGGUUUGGUCAUUUAGUUGCCCAAUUUUGUGCCUAAAGCCUAUCAUUUGUUUCCCCUAGCUACUUACUUGAAAAUGUACCCAAAUUUGACCCGGUCUUAUAGCAUUAGUGAUAUAAUUAGUAGUUUAUGAGUUUGAAAUAGUCAUGGUUAGUGUAUUAUCGUAUUGUGUGAUUGAAAAAAAAAAAAGAAAAAAAAAUGAAAAAAAAAAAUGAAAAAAAAAAAAAAAAAAAAAAGGUUUCAUUGUCUUGUAUAUAGUAGUAUGCAUUGUUAGUUGUUUUUGGUAGUUGUAAUAAAAAGACCGGGUCGAAUUUUCGCUACUCAUAUAUAUUCCAUUUCCUACCCAUACACCUAGCCACAUUACAACUUUUAAGCCCCUUUUGAUUUGCAUUCAUGUUUGACCCGUUAUAGGAGGAUAGUUGAUUCAGGUACAAGCUUAUGAUUGCGCAACCACCCGUUUGCCUAGUGUGUGUCUAGCUUAUCUUUGCUAGUUUCCACUUGUAGCCGAGAGGAGAGAAAUUGUGAGGGGUGUAUUGCUUGGGGCAUUAAAAAGGGGGUUGGUAAAGAAAUUGCAUGAUUUGUUUGGCUGAUUUGAUCACUUGUUUCGAAACUAUGUUGAUGAGUUGCUUGGGACAAGCAACGGUUAAGUGUGGGGAUGUGACGGGUGGUCCUUUGGACAACCCUUAAGUGUGUUAAAACAUGAAAUAAUCCUCCAUUUAGCCGUGUAAUUAUCUUGAAUUAGAUAACUACGAUGCUUAUGUUUCAGGUGCAAAUUAGGAGAUAAGAGAUGGAUAAAAGGCAGCUUAUGGAUGCUUUGGUGAAAACGGGUCGAGAGAAAAACACAAGACAAAACAAAGAAGUGAAGGCAGCUUGGUACCGUAAAUUACGGUACUGCCGUAAUUUACGGUGACCCAUUUUCUCAUUUAUGUUGCACCGUAACUCAGUCUUGAUUCACCGUAACAAUCUGAUGGCCACCGUAAAUUACGGUGGAGCCGUAAUUUACGGUGGUGCCUGAACGUGAAAUGUGUAACUGCCACAAUAUACUCGUUUUUUGUGUGUCUUUUGGUAUUAUCUCAUCAUUGACGGUUCUAAACAUUCGGUUUGUGUUUUUAAUUCGUAUGAACACUAGAUUAAUGUUGAUGAUGAUUCACCGAGCCAUGUCCGGCUAAACUCUUCGGUGAUCAUCUUAGGUGAAUGUUUCUAAGACUUUUGUGUGUUAAAUUUCUGCAUUUCUAGAAUGAUAUCUUGCGUUGCUUGAAUGUCGUGGUUCUCGAUCGUACGUUCUUGGUGCCGUUGGCAACCGAGAUUUCACGGGAAGGGUUAG